CCUACGGGAGGCAGCAGUGGGGAAUAUUGGGCAAUGGGCACAAGCCUGACCCAGCAACGCCGCGUGAAGGAAGAAGGCCCUCGGGUUGUAAACUUCUUUUGUCAGGGACGAAACACAUGACGGUACCUGACGAAUAAGCAACGGCUAACUACGUGCCAGCAGCCGUGGUAAUACGUAGGUGGCAGGCGUUAUUCGGAUUUACUGGGUGUAAAGGGCGUGUAGGCGGGAGAGCAAGGCAGAUGUGAAAUUCCAGGGCUCAACCCUGGAACUGCAUUUGAAACUGUUUUUCUUGAGUGAUGGAGAGGCAGGCGGAAUUCCGGGUGUAGCGGUGAAAUGCGUAGAUAUACGGAGGAACACCAGUGGCGAAGGCGGCCUGCUGGACAUUAACUGACGCUGAGGCGCGAAAGCGUGGGGAGCAAACAGGAUUAGAUACCCUGGUAGUC
Molecule: ribosomal RNA, 443 nt
Filed under: uncultured bacterium
Lineage: Bacteria
Description: partial 16S ribosomal RNA
Rfam family: Bacterial small subunit ribosomal RNA
Source: RNAcentral